RNAcentral lists this ribosomal RNA (253 nucleotides) under uncultured bacterium. RNAcentral describes it as "partial 16S ribosomal RNA". It matches the Rfam family "Bacterial small subunit ribosomal RNA", at positions 524 to 776 of the family's 1533-position model. The record is from RNAcentral.
UACGGAGGGAGCUAGCGUUGUUCGGAAUUACUGGGCGUAAAGCGCACGUAGGCGGCUUUGUAAGUUAGAGGUGAAAGCCCGGAGCUCAACUCCGGAAUUGCCUUUAAGACUGCAUCGCUCGAAUCCAGGAGAGGUGAGUGGAAUUUACGGUGUAGCGGUGAAAUGCGUAGAUAUCGUAAGGAAGACCAGUGGCGAAGGCGGGUCUCUGGACAGUUCCUGACGCUGAGGCACGAAGGUCAGGGGAGCAAACGGG